UGUGACCUCAGAGAAGGAGGAGGUAACUGCUUCCAGGUGUGGCAGUUUCUUAGUUAAGGCAGGUACUGGGCGCAUACUUAAACAGGUGGGGGAGGGCAUCUCUGCAUGGAGCCCUCCCAGGGGUGGACCUUACAGGUGUGUGGGCCAGAUAACCUGCACAGCUACAAAGGAGAAGAGUCAGAGGGAAAAAGCACAGUUAGAGGUUGCACAUUAAACUGGGUCAUAUCAGAUAGACUGGAUUUUAAUCUGUUGGUGACAGGAAGUCAGUGGAUGUUUGUGGAGUGAUUAUGACUUAUUUUAGACUUAUACAUAGCCUUGGUGUAUCAUUUCCCAUUGCCACUGUAAUGUAAUGUCCAUAGGUUUGAUGGCUUAAAAGUCAGUAUCACGGGUCAAAACAAAAGUGUUGACAGGACUACACUCUGAUCUACGGAAGACAGUCUCUUUUGCCUCUUUCAGCUCUGGUGGCUGUCAGUUUUCCUGGACAUGUGGCCACAUCACUCCAAUCUUUACUGCCAUCUUCAUACCAACUCUUAUCUAAUCUUUUUCUAUCUCUCUAAGGAUACUUGUUAUGAUUUAGACACAAAAUGGAUAACUUGCAGUCAUCUCUGUAAAAUCUUUAAAUCUGCAAUACUCUCACUUAGCAAAUAAAGUUAAUGCAAGUUCCAGAGAUUAGAACAUGAACCUCUGUCUGGGGCACAGUUUGCCAGCAUACCUAUUGACACCCAAUUGUGAAGUAUCUUGGAAUUUCACUUGCUCAAACACUGGAGGCUGGAGCAUAUGCCCUGAAUUAUUGCUAGUAGUUAGGGAUGCAAAACUGGAAUUUUGGCUGAGGGAAACAAUGAAAAAAUCAAUUAUAUAAACAUAUGCAAAAAUUUAGCUAGGCUUCUGGGACCCCUGAGCAAAGGUCAGAAGGAUACUGUCCACUAAAUUGAUAGAGAAUAGAAACAUUUCAUUUUCCAGGACAUUGCUAGUAUUCAGAGCAUUUGCUAUCUUUCAUCUAGGAUCCUAGGAUCUCAAAUCAAUCUUUCCUAAAAUACAAGUAUUUUAUUAGAACAUGAACACAACUAGGGGGCCAUGCCCCCUUUUCUUUGAACAUCUAAUUUUUAAUAUAAAGCAAUCAUAUUAUAAGAUUCUACAAUGGUUACAAAAAGGAUGAAACUUCCUAAGACACUAAUCUGACAUUAUUCUUCAUAAUUAUCUAUUGGCUCCCGACCGCCUAAGAUAUAAUUGAAAUUCUUCAGGAAAUAUUAUAACAAGAGUUAAUAACAAGCUGUUCAUAAAUGGCAUCUUGGUUUUAUCUUUUGUCACUAUCCCUUAGCGUCUAUAAUAAUAGUCUUGGCCCUAGUUCAGCCUGAAACCUUUUAUGAUUGCUGUGAAAACUUCCUUCUACCUUUGCAUAUAUUUUUGCUACCUCAUAGAGAAUAUUCUCCCUCUCAUCUGUCUGGAGACCUCUUACUGAUCUUUUAAUACAGUCCUCAAAUGUUAUUUCGAGAUGCCUUCUCCAACUUUCCCACUUAAAUGCUUCCCCUCUGGAUUGCUUUAAUCAGAGUACUGAUUCACUUACUUGACCAACCAGUACUUAUUGAGCCCCUAAAAGAACCUCCUCCUCCCACCUGACACACAUUGAAUAGUUACAAUUCUAGUUGUGGCAGAUCAAUAAGUAAAUGCUUAUUAUGUGAAAGGUGCCAUUGGAGAGGGGAGCAGAAGGUAAGAAAAUAGAAAAUGACUGUUAAGAAUUUCUCUGAACAGACAAAUGAAGGAAAUAAGAGUUCUAA
Perognathus longimembris pacificus (Pacific pocket mouse) is the source of this 1775-nucleotide long non-coding RNA. RefSeq lists it as uncharacterized. The transcript is spliced from 3 exons. NCBI's taxonomy places the organism in Eukaryota, Metazoa, Chordata, Mammalia, Rodentia, Heteromyidae. The record is from RefSeq and is a predicted model, not a curated record.